This is a long non-coding RNA of Hippocampus zosterae (dwarf seahorse), 1841 nucleotides long. RefSeq lists it as uncharacterized. The record is from RefSeq and is a predicted model, not a curated record. NCBI's taxonomy places the organism in Eukaryota, Metazoa, Chordata, Actinopteri, Syngnathiformes, Syngnathidae. The transcript has 2 exons.
UGUGCGUGCGUGUGCGUGUCUGCCAUCUUCUGUGUGCGUGUGUGCACACAAGUAAGGUCAUCAUUCAUACAUAUGUGCUAAUGUUAGCUUGCGGUGUUUACUUCUUUGCAUUUACUCCAGCUGGCCUUCAAGCAUGUGGAAUAAAUGCGCCAUCCUAAUUUGGUGUGUUGGAGGGUUAAUCGGCAGCACACUAGUUUAACAGUCGAGUUUAAGUGCGUUUAACGAUUCACUUAUUCGACGUUACUUGUAAGACACAGUUGUCCUACUCGUGGGGUAAAGGACAAGGGACAUACUAGUGCAUCCAUCUUAAAAUUAGAUCUUCAAUCAAUGGCUUUACAUGCUCCCUUAGGAUCUCUUGAGAAGGUGCGCUCCAUUUGCCUACCCAGCUGUCCAGGAAAUAUUUUAAUAUUAUUCACUUCUAUUUUGCGCGCACAUGCUAACAAAUUUGUAGCCACAAAUUAGCAUUUUGUUGCAUCUAAAUUGUGGCCCAACGUCCCUCCCACCUAUGUCAUGUUUGAGUGUUUUGUGUUACUCUGUUACUGUGUGUGUGCGUGUGUGUGUGCGUGUGUGUGUGUGUGUGUGUGUCAGUCCAUCGGUGUCUGUGUGUGCGCUGUAUCUGUAUUUCCCCUUUUAGCCUUUGAAGUGUUGUCUACAGGAAGCCCCAGACUGUUUACCCACUGAAACAUUCCUUCCUGCAACAACCCCCCUAACCCCACUUGCCAUCCCACCCAAACACACACACACACACACACACACACACACGCAUACACAUCAGAGGAUGCUGAAUGUGGGGGUUCGAGGCUUUGCUAUUCAACAGGUGUGAAGUGGUUAGAGGUGUGAGAUUUUAGGAAAAGACCCAAUAAAAGCAAACAUGUUAUUUGCAUGCCAGGCCUGUAGGUGGCGAUGUGUCUUUCGACAGUUAACAUUGUUCUGCGCUGUUGCCUGCGUGCCACAUACUUAUAUUGUAAAGCAGGUCCAAUAUUUUUUGUUGUUUUUGUUGUUUUAUUCAAUCUGUAAGUAAAAUGACCACAUUCAAGACAUUCCGAACAUUUUGCUGAAUGAUUCAUAUCAUAAAGGGCAAAUUCAUCCAUGUUGGCUGGCAGGAGAGACGAGAGCUUUGUGUUGAAUGUGUCCCAUUCGAUUUUAAACUGUGAAGGUAAGUUUCAAGAUUGAGUUCCUGAGGUUUAUGUCAUUGGCACGCAGUUCACCUUUUGUUGACCUUAUCUUGGUUGGAAGUGCGAAUCUUAUUUUAUUAUAAGUCUCUUUUGGCUAAUUUUAUUGGAAUACAGCGUCUUGACUCAUAAUCUUAUGUUAAUAUCAGUUUCAAUGAAACAAAAAAUAAAAGCACGUGGCAUUUUUUUUUUCUUUUGAAGAACUGUUCACGAUCAAUCAUUUCCUCAUCUUCUGCGACCGGUCCCUGUGGAUCAGAGCGACUCCACCCCCGCUUAGAUCCCAUCUUAGAUAUCCCGCUUCCUGGAUCGUAUUUCCCGCUUUCACCUGCACCCGAAACACUCGCCCUUGGAAAAACAUCCCUUUGUGUUCAGCUAAGCCGGAUGAUCCUGUGGUUUCUCUUUUUCACCCCUCGUCUGUCUGCCUGCGUGUGUGUGUGUGUGUAAAACAUCUGCAGGAGGACGCGCAGGGAAAAUCAGUCCGCUUCCUCCUGGCCAGAAUCACAACUUUCCAGGCAUGUUUCUCACUGUCCGGGCUCCUUGUACCGCGGGGGCUUGUAUGUUUUUGACAUCAGAGAGCCUCGGCGUCCUUCCCGUGUGAAACUUGGGUAAAAUGUCUGGGUGGGCUUCGCCGUCGAUGUGUUGUCAGACGGUGAUGCGAGAUUAUGGCGG